CAGAGCCCGUAGGAUUAGUCGAGCUGCGCCCACGGUCAUGGGAAAAAAAAAAGUAAAACAAAAUAUAUUAUUGGGAUUACAUUUUAAAAUGCCAAUAUUAUUAGGAGUAGCCUCCAAGCUCUUAUAUAUUGAUUAACCAUUUAACCUUAACAUGCCACGCAAGAUGUGGCUCAUCUGAGCACCCUCCGAAUGCUCAUUUGAGUAUUAGAUGCACCGAAUUGCUCGUUUGAACUUAAUAGGCUUUGAUACCAUGGUGAAAUUUGGAUUUCAUCUCAAUGGCUCAACCUUGUUUACAUCUUUAUUUUAUGUAAGAUUUAUCCCUUAACAAGAUGUACAAAUCACUGUGUCGUGCUUUCUCUUGUUGCUCAAUUAAAGAGAUUUACUAUUAGACAAGGUUGGAAAGAGACUAACGGAUUAUCCAAUUUUGUCAUAAUUAAGUCUUGGAAGCAUCUUAAAUUUGACUCCAUAUUGCAUGCAUGGUUGUCACUGCCCCAUUGUAUUUAAAUAAUAUUCUCACCUGUUUCUGGUAGAUCUUUGUUUGGUUAUAUGCUUUACGCUGAUCUUGAUACACUAAUAUUCUCACCCUUUUUAGAUUAUCGAAAUUCAUUUCCACUUUGUUCAUGCAGGGAGCUUCUUUGAUGGAUGUAUCUGAACUCUCUCUUUCUCUAUAUUUCUCUUCUCAGGUACAAGAGCACAUUAUCCUCCUGGUCAAGCUUGAGAUUACAUUUCCAGUAACAUGGACAGAUAGAUGAAUGCAUGACAAUUAAUAGAAAGGCCACCCACGCAAUAGGAUAUGCAGCAUAUCAUUAGAUAAUCUACAAAACUAAAGCGGAAUAGCUUCAUGGAGCAAUUGCUUCCCGAUGCUAGCAUAUUUGAAGAUGCCUGGACUAAAAAGGUUUCCCUCUCCAUCAUGGAAUACCAUCAGAAGUUCAAAUCUAAUGUUGACAAUCAACAUGCUUUUUUCAGAAAUUGCAGGAGUAUUCCAAUUGCCUUGCGGACUUGGACCUAUACAUCAAGACUCUUGUGACAAUACUCAAAAUGCCACAACCAAUUUUCCAUGUCCGGGUUAGUUACCAAGGUCAUGGGUUCAAGGAUUGGUACCUCCCCUCACCCAUCAAAAAAAGGAAAAGAAAAAAAUUAAAUAAAAAAAGAAACACAAAAUGCUAUGCUAUCAUUUUCUUCACCAGUUUGUUCUUUCGUUCCAUAAACACUAGAAAUUCAAGCUUCACAUGGGAAGAGGCAAAAGGACUUGUGACCAUGCUUAAGCCUUCUUUGGAUGAAGAGGGUUGAGGAAACAAAAACAGAGGUUGUUUCUAGUGAGAGGAACAAGUUUCACACAAAUGCGUGGACCAAACAAUCCAAACUCUAUUUAAAAGCUUUUCAGGAAUUCGAAGCAACAACUUCUAUGGCCUCCUAAGAGAUAUGAAUAGCAGUAGAGAAUGCGACCAAAAGGAGAGUUCACAAACUGGUUUCAUGCAAAUCAUCUGGGGCCUUUCCAAAAGGGGAAAGAUGUCUCCACUGUGAAGGAAGAGCUAGCCAACUCCAUCCUUGUUUCUUCGCGCUGGAAAUGCAAUGAUAAUCCAGCCUCUAAAGUACCGUAUCAUGGAAAUGAAGAUUGUUGAGCACCUUCGAGGAUAUGUACUUACCACUCCAAAAGUUGAUUGGACUAGUUGAAUUGGCAACUUAUCCAGUGGUACUAAGGGCCCGUUUGGCAUGACUUUUGAAAAGUCAAAAAGAGUUUUUGAGACCCAAAAACCGCUUUUGGCCUUGUUUGGUUAAUUUUAUGAAAAUACUUCUUCUAGUUUGAAGUGCUUUUCAAACACUUUGGAAUAUGAAGUUCUUUCAAAAAUUGGUUUUCAAAUAAAACUUAAGGUAGCUUCCUCCAAAAAAUCUUCUACAUGAAACAAAAAUAAAAGCAAAAGUCAUGUCAAACGAGCCCUAAGUAGAUCUUGCAGGGUAUGCAUGCCAGUCUUUGGACAAUUGAGUAUCCUAGCAGGCCCAUCUACGGGGCAUUCAUGGGUCGUAGUUUGCGAUGGUGAACACAACAUUGGCUUCAAACAUUGAGAGCCUCGCUAAACUGCCACUGAUGGUGCCUCCAAUUGAAUUGGCUUAAUGUCCUUAUUCGACUUCGACUCAGCUAGAAUUGGCUUCUGCUUUGGAUAUGCCCGUCUUUCCUCCCUGUGCAUAUCUUGAACGAGGAAUGGCGGGGCCAUCUUUUAUAUAAGAAACAUAUACUGCUUUUGGUUUGGUUUAGGAGUGGCAGUAAUUGGUUAGAGUUUCCGCUGGUGGACAUUGGAUUAACGACAAGGGCAUCAAACAUCUCCCUGUAUUACCACUGAUGGCGCCAGGCUCCAGUUGAACCAGUCACUAAGUCCAUGAUGCUUACAAAGUUCAUAUAUAUAUGUAUUUUUUAUUUUAUUUUUGUGCCCUCUUUCUUUUUCUUCAGUUAUUUUAAUUUUCAUCUCAAAGGUGCAAAAGUAUUUCUAUUUUUCAUUUUCUACAGAUAAAAAACAGAUGGGCCUCUCAAUGGUUCUCUCUCUACUACCAUUUUGUGUCCCUUUGAUUGUUAUAUUAGUACGACAAUCAAGUAAAUUAAAGACUGGCAGUGUGACAAAACACCACACUUUGACAGUAAGCACAAAAUUAAGUGGUCAACUUGAAAGUUGAUUGUUUACUGCUUGACAAGGCACGUUUUAUUAAUUUUUUUAAAAGUCAUUUAUUUGACUUUAAUUUCAA
Molecule: RNA transcript, 2736 nt
Organism: Olea europaea var. sylvestris
Lineage: Eukaryota; Viridiplantae; Streptophyta; Magnoliopsida; Lamiales; Oleaceae
Exons: 6
Source: RefSeq, a predicted model, not a curated record